ACCUUUUCACGGAGCACGCAUUCGCGUUGACUUAUAAACCAAAUGUAAUGGCAUUUUGUUAUUCUAUUAGCUACUAGUAGCAAUUAACGUAAUGUACGGCGUUAAAACCGUGUUGUUCUCCAAUCCUUUGUUUUGAAAUAAGUGGGCGUGUGUUUCAGCUUCCCCUGAAAUACAACCAGGAAGUUGUCCCGCGCCAUUUCCAUAGCUUCUACGCCAUCUCGAAGACCGUGCUUCGAGUUACAAGAAGAUUACGUUAUCAACAUCGGUGUACUCUUCUUCAAUUUAUAAAAAACCCCACUGCAUCGUGGUUUUCGGACCGACUUCAGUUCCACCAUCUACGUACUAAAUAACGUCGUCGUUAGCUGUUGAUUGUUGUGAGGUGAACUAACGUCGUUGGCUAGCUGGUUAGAGUUAGCCUACUUACCACUUUCGCAAAAAUAAAAAUAGCUAGUAUCGUUGAUGUGUCCUACCCUCUCCACUUUGAAGUCAUGUUGGGCGAAUCACUAAUAAAUAUAGAACCAAAUCUGGACAACUUUGAAAACAAUAAGCCACCCGUUUUGACUUCCUACCACGUCGGGGCAAGCCUAGGCAAAACAAGGCAAGCACUGUUGAAGAAAGGUGGGAGAAAAUUGCGUUCAACAACGUCAGGGUUGCAGCGGACACACCAACAACCGCGCCAAAAAACGCAGAGAAACAACCCCACGCGCCUUGCAGACAUCAACAACAAUGUCGCAGCUUCGAAAUCCCCAACUGCCGAACUCGCAACCCACCGGACCCAGGCGACUGUGCUGACCUGUCACCAUCUAAAGCAGAGGACAAAGAAAGAGUGUCGUAGUGAGGUACCAUGGCAAGGCCUCUCAUGCUGCAGCCUACCCCUGGAAGGAGUCAACACGUUGGACGCUGCUAAGCUCGCCUACAGUAACCUCUUUGUGCAGAGACAGCAACUAAAGACAGACUGGAGAAUCCACGGUGAAGGACAGCCCACUGAGCCCAGUUAACAUUAACACGUACAGUACCAGG
This 1020-nucleotide long non-coding RNA is filed under the name Salmo salar (Atlantic salmon). RNAcentral describes it as "lncRNA (ENSSSAG00000092417.1)". Lineage: Eukaryota; Metazoa; Chordata; Actinopteri; Salmoniformes; Salmonidae. The record is from RNAcentral.